AUCUUUGUCCUAGGUUCUUGGCACAGAACUCCUAAAAACCUUGGAACUUCCAGAGUGGUAAAUGUGAUAGGGCUCCUUUUUGUUCUGAGGAGACUCUUGGUGGGCCCCUAUAUAGCUUGACUAUGGGACCUGGUUGCCAGAAGACCAAGCCAUGAUUAGAAGUUUGGAACUUUUGGUCCCAUUCCCCAACCUCCAGGGAAGAGAGAAAGACUGUAAAUUUAGUUAAUCACCAAUGGCUACAAUCAUGAGUGACUUGUCUUCGAAAAUGUCGUUGCCCCGGGGAAGGUAUUUUAUAGGUGUAGGAAACUUUAAGUGGUCACUUAGGACUUCGAAAUAAGUACGGCCUGAGGCCAGGAGGAGAAAGCAGUGCCCUCAACACUGCUGUAAACGCGCAUUUGUAGUCAACCUAUUAAAAAGACCCAGCACCAUAUGGAUGUCUCACGGAUUACAACUCUCUACUAUAGUGGUGAGUCUAAUUUGAGAAUUAUUUUUCCUUUAUAUUAGUAAGUAAUUUCAAGUGAUUUAUAUUUAUGAAGUGUUUAGUAUUCCACAUCUGAAUUUUGAGUUGCAGAGUAACCGUUGUAAGACUUUAUUCACAAAUGAUACAAAAUAAUAGUCUCCCCAUUGUCCACAUACAUUCUGAAGACGUAAAUUGUGGGCUGGUCCACCCAAAACCAGUAGGCUAAUAGAUCUUCUUGAAUAAGCAAUCGAUUCAUUCAAAUUACUGAGCUCAUAAUAGUGGAUUGUUUCAGUGAACUGUGUGGCUGUUUCAAGAAAUUAACCAUGUGGUAUCAAUAUCUUCUGGACAUAGAGGCACUUUCUUUGUUGAGGGCAGAAUGGCAGAAGGAAGAGAAAAGGAGAUUGUGGAAGGAAACUCCAACAGUUUAUGACGAUGAUCUCUACUAGAGCUUACAAGUCAGUGCGAAUAUGGAGAAGGAGACUAUAAUCAAUUUCCCUACGAGCUUCAGAAAGGGCGUGAUUUUGGGAUUAAUAGACACAGAAUUCCUCAAACAUUUUCUAAAUAAAGGGCCUAGAAGAAAUAAGAAAAAUUCUGGCAGCAAACUAUUUUAUUACUUUAAGAAUAAUGAAGAACAGUUUCCUUUUCUUUCUCUGAAGGAUGUGUACAUGUACACCUGGAAAACUAUCCAUAACCUAUUCCUGGAGGGGAAGUAUUUCUCUCACUUCACGAAAAUAUAUAGGUACAUUUAAAAAAAGACUUCACUCAAUUUCAGUCACCUUAUUUAAUAGCCUAACAUUAAUUUGGUCCACAUUGAUGUAAAGAAGAAAUACUUAUAAUAUUCUCAUAAUUUGCUGAGUUAAUAUGGACUUUUAGUUAAAGGCUAAAUGUUUCACUUAGCAAGUGAAUUCAUUUAUAUAGCCAUAAAGCCAAUAAAUUCUUUAUUAAAAAUUCUAUGUAUGAUAUUUAGUGAAAAAGAUCAAGCUGCAUUAGUUAUGUACAAGAAAUUAAGUAAUAUAUUUAUAUUGACCUUCCUAUUAAAUUAUCUAUUAUAGUAUGUUGAAAAGCCUAAUUUACUGAAAUACCAUGCAUCACAAUUUUUCACAAUAGAGGAAGAUAUUACAGAGUUACUUAUUUAUUUACUACAUUUUCUUUUUAAAGAGUCAUGGUUCCAAAUUUACUGUUAUUAAUUUAGAGACACACGUGGGGGUGUGUGUGUCCAUGUGUGUAUCUCUCUAUCAUCUAUCUAUUUCAUCCUCACAUUUCCAGAGCAUUCAGUUAAAUGAUCAAAUUUACAUUUUGUGCUAUGGCUUUCUAGCUAUUGUUUAUGUG
This 1789-nucleotide long non-coding RNA is filed under the name Equus caballus (horse). RNAcentral's name for it is "lncRNA (ENSECAG00000047562.1)". The record is from RNAcentral. Lineage: Eukaryota; Metazoa; Chordata; Mammalia; Perissodactyla; Equidae.